UAUAAGCGGAGGAAAAGAAACCAACAGGGAUUGCCUUAGUAACGGCGAGUGAAGCGGCAAAAGCUCAAAUUUGAAAUCUGGCACCUUCGGUGUCCGAGUUGUAAUUUGAAGAAGGUAACUUUGGAGUUGGCUCUUGUCUAUGUUCCUUGGAACAGGACGUCACAGAGGGUGAGAAUCCCGUGCGAUGAGAUGCCCAAUUCUAUGUAAAGUGCUUUCGAAGAGUCGAGUUGUUUGGGAAUGCAGCUCUAAGUGGGUGGUAAAUUCCAUCUAAAGCUAAAUAUUGGCGAGAGACCGAUAGCGAACAAGUACAGUGAUGGAAAGAUGAAAAGAACUUUGAAAAGAGAGUGAAAAAGUACGUGAAAUUGUUGAAAGGGAAGGGCUUGAGAUCAGACUUGGUAUUUUGCGAUCCUUUCCUUCUUGGUUGGGUUCCUCGCAGCUUACUGGGCCAGCAUCGGUUUGGAUGGUAGGAUAAUGACUAAGGAAUGUGGCUCUACUUCGGUGGAGUGUUAUAGCCUUGGUUGAUACUGCCUGUCUAGACCGAGGACUGCGUCUUUUGACUAGGAUGUUGGCAUAAUGAUCUUAAGCCACCCGUCUUGAAACACGGAC
Molecule: ribosomal RNA, 606 nt
Filed under: Debaryomyces hansenii
Lineage: Eukaryota; Fungi; Ascomycota; Pichiomycetes; Serinales; Debaryomycetaceae
Description: eukaryotic LSU rRNA
Rfam family: Eukaryotic large subunit ribosomal RNA
Source: RNAcentral